GAUGAACGCUGGCGGCGUGCCUAAUACAUGCAAGUCGAGCGAACGGACGAGAAGCUUGCUCCUCUGACGUUAGCGGCGGACGGGUGAGUAACACGUGGAUAACCUACCUAUAAGACUGGGAUAACUUCGGGAAACCGGAGCUAAUACCGGAUAAUAUUUUGAACCGCAUGGUUCAAUAGUGAAAGACGGUCUUGCUGUCACUUAUAGAUGGAUCCGCGCUGCAUUAGCUAGUUGGUAAGGUAACGGCUUACCAAGGCAACGAUGCGUAGCCGACCUGAGAGGGUGAUCGGCCACACUGGAACUGAGACACGGUCCAGACUCCUACGGGAGGCAGCAGUAGGGAAUCUUCCGCAAUGGGCGAAAGCCUGACGGAGCAACGCCGCGUGAGUGAUGAAGGUCUUCGGAUCGUAAAACUCUGUUAUUAGGGAAGAACAUAUGUGUAAGUAACUGUGCACAUCUUGACGGUACCUAAUCAGAAAGCCACGGCUAACUACGUG
Molecule: ribosomal RNA, 497 nt
Filed under: uncultured bacterium
Lineage: Bacteria
Description: partial 16S ribosomal RNA
Rfam family: Bacterial small subunit ribosomal RNA
Source: RNAcentral